Molecule: long non-coding RNA, 1186 nt
Filed under: Callithrix jacchus (white-tufted-ear marmoset)
Lineage: Eukaryota; Metazoa; Chordata; Mammalia; Primates; Cebidae
Description: lncRNA (ENSCJAG00000072228.1)
Source: RNAcentral
UUUUAUCCCAGUUAAUGUGAACAUAAACUCUGAUUGUUAUGGCUAUCUGUCGUGGGGUUUCUAUUAUUUUGUCAGAAAUUGUAUCAGGAACUUUAUAUCAAUCACUAAAUUACACAUUUCCAAGCUGCAUAUGAAUUAGGUAUUACUAUGAUCAUUUUACAGAUGAAGAAGAUGAGACUCAGAGCAAUACAUAAGUUGCCCAAGGUCAGAGAGCAAGUACCAGAAAUAAAAGCCAGAUAAAUCUAAUUCCCAUAUCCUUGCUCUUUCAAUGAUGUUUCAGAGUUGAUUACAAAAAGAAUUGUUCUGUGUGCUCAGGAUAAUUUACUACCUACUAAAUUUAACCAUAGGGCAGUCUUAUAAACAGGGUAGAGUAUGCAGUUAAGAUAAAAUUUGAGAGGAAAAAAUUAAAUUAAAAUAGUACAUAACCAAUGAUCAGAAUAUUCUCUCAGUAUUUUAGAAAUUUAUGUAAGAAUAAACUAGAUACUGAUAAAAAAGUCACAUUCUUCAUGCACAAAUCUUGUAAGUAGCUACUGUUAAAGAGAGGAUACUAUUUACCUAGAAGAAAGUGGGGUUGUCAACCACUAUAUAACCAUUCGUGGGGUGAAUGUCUUUUUUAUUUUAGGCCUCUGGCUGAUGGAUCCAAGAGGUAGAUGCGUGAUGUCAAAAUAUUCUCUUUUAUAGUGACCAUAUCAGAGCACAGUGUACUCCUCUUGCCGUAUUCAGAGGAUUUGCCUAUGGGCAGCAACAUUAUUCUCUCGUUCUCUGGAUAUUAGGAACAAUAUCACAGGACCGGCGGACAGCCCCAGUCAUAUCGUGAGUAAUGUCAUCUGUAAUCCCUUAGUUAUUAGAAAAAAUAUCACAGGGGUUCUGUGUGCUUUAUCAGAUACUUGGAGUAAUAUCUUUUCCGUUUUUGGAUAUUAGACACGAUACUACAGUGGUGGUGUACACUUCCUGCGAUAUUCAGGGUAUAAUAAUCUUUUGUCCCCAGGAUAUUAGGUAGUACAUUAAAGAAGCCUUGUACUUUGCCUGUGAUAUUGGAACAAUCACAGAGUGAACACUUGCUUUCAAAAUGAGAGUAAUACCUACUUAAAAUAUGAUGGAUAAUAUCAAAAAAUGGACACACAUGGGUGUAUACCCACUUUGAUAUAGAAAGAAAUUUUUAUCUAAUAUACUAAAAAUCAUAUAU